Molecule: small nuclear RNA, 302 nt
Filed under: Microcebus murinus (gray mouse lemur)
Lineage: Eukaryota; Metazoa; Chordata; Mammalia; Primates; Cheirogaleidae
Description: 7SK RNA (ENSMICG00000025959.3)
Rfam family: 7SK RNA
About the family: 7SK was discovered as an abundant small nuclear RNA in the mid-70s but a possible function has only recently been suggested. Two independent studies have found that 7SK RNA binds the CDK9/cyclin T complex (known as elongation factor P-TEFb).
Source: Rfam by way of RNAcentral
AUACGUAAGGACAAUCUGGCUGUAACAUCUGUCACCCCAUUGAUGGCCAGGGUUGAUUGGGCUGAUCUGGCAAACUAGGCAGUUGUCCCCUUCCUCCCUCACUGCUCUGUAUGCAUCUCUCUCAAAGCUGAGCUCUUGGUCAAAGAGGAAGAAACCUUCCCUGAUGGAGCAGGAUGUUCUUUGGUCAAAGGUAUAUGAGUAGUUGUGUUCCCCUGCUAGAGUCUCCAAACAAGCUCUCAAAAAGAGGAUAACUUAAAAGAUAGAGCCAUAACCAACUUGCUUAAACUAAUAUAUGAAGACAU